This is a long non-coding RNA of Lytechinus variegatus (green sea urchin), 2126 nucleotides long. RefSeq lists it as uncharacterized. The transcript has 2 exons. Lineage: Eukaryota; Metazoa; Echinodermata; Echinoidea; Temnopleuroida; Toxopneustidae. The record is from RefSeq and is a predicted model, not a curated record.
GAUGUUUUGGGCGAUGUCCGGGUCAAAUUUGUAACGGUGGAUCACAUUUCAUCGCGUAUGUAAGAAGGAGACACCGGAGAAGAGACCGUCGUUGUAUCAGACGGACGGGAUGUUAGCCGCGAUCCACAUGCACAUGAACAGCCACGAUAUCGGGCGUUUUGAAGCAUCGCAGUUGGGAAUCUUCCUGCAAUGUCCGUGAAACGGUGGAUUGGAUCUCCACGAUGUUUUCCCUUUCAAAGCGACGUAGCCUCUGUUGAAGGUUAAAAUGUAUAUCUUCAGUACAUGAAGUGUCAAUCUGGUGACCUGUACUCCUGGCCUGAUGGCGAGGCACAAUUCUACCUCUCUCCAUUUUGUGACAUUGACAGAAUCCUCUUCCAAACUGACACAGUUGUCAUUGGGUCACCGAUCUUCUUGAAGUUCAUAAACUUGUAACCUGAAUGCAGAGAGAAAUAUUGCAUGUUAUUUCUAAUAGUCAAGUUUAGUGUACAGUGUUAGUGUAAUACAUUUUUUACAUUUGCCAGUAAGAAGUUUACCAUAUAGUUUUUAACUAAAGGAAAAGAUUGUACUUUGCAGUUUUAUACUUGAACAUUUAUUAGAAUAGCUUAGUAGAAAUAGUACAUUUUACUUUCUCAUUCACAAUUCUAUGUUAAAACAACAGGUGUAAUUUUUUUUAUUCAAUUUGUCCACUAAGUACUUUACAAUUGUCCUUUUGGCAUGCUGGAACUUAAUGUUUUAUCCAAUGCAUCUAUUCCAGUGAUGACAUGAUUAUAUUUUAAUUAAAGUCACUUAGAACUACAUUUACCAUGUAACUGAGGUAAAACAAAUUAGAGUAAACAAAUUGAACAAGUUAUAUGUGUAAGGUAUUAAUGCAGUGUCCAUGAAUUGCAUGCCAACUUUGUCUUGUUUUGUCUUGAAAAACCAUAGCUUAGAAGAACUAAACUAGUACCUUUUCCCUACAUCUUUUUCACCCGAGUAUUGUAUCAAAGGUAUCAAAAUUAUAAUCGUGUACAUGUAUGAAUAAAAAAAAAAUUUACCUGUUCAUUGAUAUGCAUUUCAGAAGCUUGCCUGUAGAUGUUGUAUUUCUACACUUGAGUAAGAUGAGUUAACUCGCAUUUAGUGUGUUGAUAAGUAGAAUGUUAAGUCAUACUAUUCAAUAUGACCAUUACAAGGACAUGAUGUCCAUGUAACGGUGGUAUGUACAUUUGAAAGUGAUAUCUUGAAGGAGAUAUUUUAAAGUAAUAAAAGAUUUGGAGAUCAUAAGCUAGCACUCUUGUUUUUUUUUCCCUUUAGACAGAAACAUAUGUUUCCAGAGAUAGACAGAAGUGGAACCUUGAGGAUUACCGUAGUAUUAUUUUAAAUAUAAUUUAUCAAUAAUUUUGUACAUUUUUCCUUGUUUAAACUCUAAUUUAAAUUGCUUUUAUUUGCAAAGAAUUUGACAUGAAAAAUGUUUUUCUUUGGUAUAAUAAAUUGAUCUUGUGCAAAUAUUCUAAGGCAUAAAGUGGAAUUUGGUGUGUAUUGGCCAUUAAUGGACCUUAACUUAACAAUGCUUCAAAGUAUACCUCUGUUACUGAGACAUGAUGUCCAUGUAACGGUGGUAUGUACAUUUGAAAGUAAUAUCUUGAAGGAGAUAUUUUAAAGUAAAAAGAUUUGGAGAUCAUAAGAUAGCACUGUUUCGUUUUUUCCCCUUUAGACAGAAACAUAAAUGUUUCCACAGAUAGACGGAAGUGGAAACUUGAGGAUUACCGUAGUAUGAUUUUAAAUAUAAUUUGUUAAUAAUUUUGUACAUUUUUCCUUUUUUAAACUCUAAUUUAAUUUGCUUUUAUUUGCAAAGAAUUUGACAUGAAAAAUGUUUUUCUUUAGUAUAAUCAAUUGAUCUUGUGCAAAUAUUCUAAGGCACAAAGUGGAAUUUGGUGUGUAAUGGCCAUUAAUGGACCUUAACUUAACAAUGCUUCAAAGUAUACCUCUGUUACUGAGACAUGAUGUCCAUGUAACGGUGGUAACACCAAACAUAGAAGGUUAGGCCAGAAAGAGUAAUUGAGUUUUUCCAAAGAGAAUAUUCCAUUCUGUUGAGGCAUGACUUCUCUCAACUAUUUAGUUCUACAUGCCAUCAUAAAUUCAAUUUUCUA